RNAcentral lists this ribosomal RNA (436 nucleotides) under uncultured bacterium. RNAcentral's name for it is "bacterial SSU rRNA". It matches the Rfam family "Bacterial small subunit ribosomal RNA", at positions 28 to 477 of the family's 1533-position model. The record is from RNAcentral.
GACGAACGCUGGCGGCGCGCCUAACACAUGCAAGUCGAACGAGCGAGAGAGAGCUUGCUUUCUCGAGCGAGUGGCGAACGGGUGAGUAACGCGUGAGGAAUCUGCCUCAAAGAGGGGGACAACAGUUGGAAACGACUGCUAAUACCGCAUAAGCCCACGGCUCGGCAUCGAGCAGAGGGAAAAGGAGCAAUCCGCUUUGAGAUGGCCUCGCGUCCGAUUAGCUAGUUGGUGAGGUAACGGCCCACCAAGGCAACGAUCGGUAGCCGGACUGAGAGGUUGAACGGCCACAUUGGGACUGAGACACGGCCCAGACUCCUACGGGAGGCAGCAGUGGGGAAUAUUGCACAAUGGGGGAAACCCUGAUGCAGCGACGCCGCGUGGAGGAAGAAGGUCUUCGGAUUGUAAACUCCUGUUGUUGGGGAAGAUAAUGACGGUA